Molecule: non-coding RNA, 46 nt
Filed under: Trichobilharzia regenti
Lineage: Eukaryota; Metazoa; Platyhelminthes; Trematoda; Strigeidida; Schistosomatidae
Source: RNAcentral
GUACUGAUGAACAGUCCCAGGCUAAGACGAAACAGCCGUCCAGUAC